Molecule: ribosomal RNA, 581 nt
Filed under: Listeria monocytogenes
Lineage: Bacteria; Bacillati; Bacillota; Bacilli; Caryophanales; Listeriaceae
Description: bacterial SSU rRNA
Rfam family: Bacterial small subunit ribosomal RNA
Source: RNAcentral
UAGUUGGUAGGGUAAUGGCCUACCAAGGCAACGAUGCAUAGCCGACCUGAGAGGGUGAUCGGCCACACUGGGACUGAGACACGGCCCAGACUCCUACGGGAGGCAGCAGUAGGGAAUCUUCCGCAAUGGACGAAAGUCUGACGGAGCAACGCCGCGUGUAUGAAGAAGGUUUUCGGAUCGUAAAGUACUGUUGUUAGAGAAGAACAAGGAUAAGAGUAACUGCUUGUCCCUUGACGGUAUCUAACCAGAAAGCCACGGCUAACUACGUGCCAGCAGCCGCGGUAAUACGUAGGUGGCAAGCGUUGUCCGGAUUUAUUGGGCGUAAAGCGCGCGCAGGCGGUCUUUUAAGUCUGAUGUGAAAGCCCCCGGCUUAACCGGGGAGGGUCAUUGGAAACUGGAAGACUGGAGUGCAGAAGAGGAGAGUGGAAUUCCACGUGUAGCGGUGAAAUGCGUAGAUAUGUGGAGGAACACCAGUGGCGAAGGCGACUCUCUGGUCUGUAACUGACGCUGAGGCGCGAAAGCGUGGGGAGCAAACAGGAUUAUAUACCCUGGUAGUCCACGCCGUAAACGAUGAGUGCUAA